RNAcentral lists this long non-coding RNA (393 nucleotides) under Homo sapiens (human). Its description in RNAcentral is "HSALNT0305328". Lineage: Eukaryota; Metazoa; Chordata; Mammalia; Primates; Hominidae. The record is from RNAcentral.
ACUCAAACGAGCAGGAAUUUUCCUGUAUUUGAAUUUCUACACCGGAAAUACAAUGAAUCUCGGUUUGGGGAAGACAGAAUGGAUUAGAGUGUGGCUGGGCAAAUGGAGAGGUGGUGGGAACAGUGAAAAAGCCUUUGCAGUAGCACAGUCAGGCGAUGACAGUGGCUGGGCCAAGGAGGUGAAGCUGAAAAUGAAAGCAAAUCUGAGUGGGAGGCAGAAGUGAUCCUGUUAACAACAACUGCCCACUCCAGAUGAGAAGAAGUUUUGUGGUGAAGUGAUAAAUCCUGUGCUGUGCAUGUUUGUGAGUUUUUGACGGGCCCCCAUGGACCUUCAGUUGGCAAUCAGGAUGCUGUGAGCCUGUCCACUGUGACUUGCUGGCACAUUGUCACUGAC